This 171-nucleotide non-coding RNA is filed under the name Diaphorina citri (Asian citrus psyllid). RNAcentral describes it as "Eukaryotic small subunit ribosomal RNA". It matches the Rfam family "Eukaryotic small subunit ribosomal RNA", at positions 1667 to 1823 of the family's 1831-position model. Lineage: Eukaryota; Metazoa; Arthropoda; Insecta; Hemiptera; Psyllidae. The record is from Rfam by way of RNAcentral.
CACCGCCCGUCGCUACUACCGAUCGAAUGAUUUGGUGAGGUCUUCGGACCGGUGGCGCGGACGGACGCGCCUCGUGCGCCCCGUCCGACGUUCAUCGGAAAGAUGCCCGAACUCGAUCAUUUAGAGGAAGUAAAAGUCGUAACAAGGUUUCCGUAGGUGAACCUGCGGAAG